GAGUUUGAUCAUGGCUCAGAGUGAACGCUGGCGGCAGGCCUAACACAUGCAAGUCGAGCGGUAGCGCGGGGGCAACCCUGGCGGCGAGCGGCGGACGGGUGAGGAAUGCAUCGGAAUCUACCUCGUUGUGGGGGAUAACCUCGGGAAACCGGGACUAAUACCGCAUACGCACUACGGUGGAAAGCCGGGGACCGCAAGGCCUGGCGCUAAUAGAUGAGCCCAAAUCGGAUUAGCUAGUUGGUGAGGUAAUGGCUCACCAAGGCGACGAUCCGUAGCUGGUUUGAGAGAACGACCAGCCACACCGGAACUGAGACACGGUCCGGACUCCUACGGGAGGCAGCAGUGGGGAAUAUUGGACAAUGGGGGCAACCCUGAUCCAGCGACGCCGCGUGGGUGAAGAAGGCCUGCGGGUUGUAAAGCCCUUUCGGUUGGGAAGAACAGUAUCGACCUAACACGUCGGUACCUUGACGUAACCAACAAAAGAAGCACCGGCUAACUCUGUGCCAGCCGCCGCGGUAAC
This 520-nucleotide ribosomal RNA is filed under the name uncultured Gammaproteobacteria bacterium. RNAcentral's name for it is "bacterial SSU rRNA". It matches the Rfam family "Bacterial small subunit ribosomal RNA", at positions 9 to 524 of the family's 1533-position model. Lineage: Bacteria; Pseudomonadati; Pseudomonadota; Gammaproteobacteria. RNAcentral also lists the same sequence under 1 other name. The record is from RNAcentral.